GACGAACGCUGGCGGCGUGCUUAACACAUGCAAGUCGAACGGAAAGGCCCUGCUUUUGUGGGGUGCUCGAGUGGCGAACGGGUGAGUAACACGCGAGUAACCUGCCCUUGACUUUGGGAUAACUCCAGGAAACUGGGGCUAAUACCGGAUAGGAGCUCCUGCUCCAUGGUGGGGGUUGGAAAGUUUCGGCGGUUGGGGAUGGACUCGCGGCUUAUCAGCUUGUUGGUGGGGUAGUGACUUACCAAGGUUGUGACGGGUAGCCGGCCUGAGAGGGUGACCGGGCACAAUGGGACUGAGAGACGGCCCAGACUCCUACGGGAGGCAGCAGUGGGGAAUAUUACACAAUGGGCGGAAGCCUGAUGCGGCAACGCCGCGUGCGGGAAGACGGCCUUCGGGUUGUAAACCGCUUUCGACUGUGACGAAGCGUGAGUGACGGUAAUGGGUAAGGAAGCACCGGCUAACUACGUG
Molecule: ribosomal RNA, 468 nt
Filed under: uncultured bacterium
Lineage: Bacteria
Description: partial 16S ribosomal RNA
Rfam family: Bacterial small subunit ribosomal RNA
Source: RNAcentral